CAUGGCUCAGGAUGAACGCGGGCGGUAUGCUUAACACAUGCAAGUCGAACGGUCUCUUCGGAGAUAGUGGCGGACGGGUGAGUAACGCGUAAGAAUCUACCUUCAGGUUGGGGACAACCACUGGAAACGGUGGCUAAUACCCAAUGUGCCGAGAGGUGAAAGGCUUGCUGCCUGAAGAAGAGCUUGCGUCUGAUUAGCUAGUAGGUGAGGUAAGAGCUUACCUAGGCGACGAUCAGUAGCUGGUCUGAGAGGAUGAUCAGCCACACUGGGACUGAGACACGGCCCAGACUCCUACGGGAGGCAGCAGUGGGGAAUUUUCCGCAAUGGGCGAAAGCCUGACGGAGCAAUACCGCGUGAGGGAGGAAGGCUCUUGGGUUGUAAACCUCUUUUCUCAGGGAAGAAAAAAAUGACGGUACCUGAGGAAUAAGCAUCGGCUAACUCCGUGCCAGCAGCCGCGGUAAUACGGAGGAUGCAAGCGUUAUCCGGAAUGAUUGGGCGUAAAGGGUCCGCAGGUGGCAUUGUAAGUCUGCUGUUAAAGAGUUUGGCUCAACCAAAUAAAAGCAGUGGAAACUACAAAGCUAGAGUAUGGUCGGGGCAGAGGGAAUUCCUGGUGUAGCGGUGAAAUGCGUAGAUAUCAGGAAGAACAUCGGUGGCGAAGGCGCUCUGCUAGGCCAAAACUGACACUGAGGGACGAAAGCUAGGGGAGCGAAUGGGAUUAGAUACCCCAGUAGUCCUAGCCGUAAACGAUGGAUACUAGGCGUAGCUCGUAUCGACCCGAGCUGUGCCGUAGCUAACGCGUUAAGUAUCCCGCCUGGGGAGUACGCAGGCAACUGUGAAACUCAAAG
RNAcentral lists this ribosomal RNA (845 nucleotides) under uncultured bacterium. RNAcentral describes it as "bacterial SSU rRNA". It matches the Rfam family "Bacterial small subunit ribosomal RNA", at positions 18 to 906 of the family's 1533-position model. The record is from RNAcentral.